GGCUGGUCCGAAGGUAGUGAGUUAUCUCAAUUGAUUGUUCACAGUCAGCUACAGAUCGAACUCCUUGUUCUACUCUUUCCCCCCUUCUCACUACUGCACUUGACUAGUCUUUU
RNAcentral lists this Y RNA (113 nucleotides) under Pteropus vampyrus (large flying fox). Its description in RNAcentral is "Y RNA (ENSPVAG00000026080.1)". It matches the Rfam family "Y RNA". Rfam says of the family: Y RNAs are components of the Ro ribonucleoprotein particle (Ro RNP), in association with Ro60 and La proteins. The Y RNAs and Ro60 and La proteins are well conserved, but the function of the Ro RNP is not known. In humans the RNA component can be one of four small RNAs -- hY1, hY3, hY4 and hY5. Lineage: Eukaryota; Metazoa; Chordata; Mammalia; Chiroptera; Pteropodidae. The record is from Rfam by way of RNAcentral.